RNAcentral lists this ribosomal RNA (253 nucleotides) under uncultured bacterium. Its description in RNAcentral is "partial 16S ribosomal RNA". It matches the Rfam family "Bacterial small subunit ribosomal RNA", at positions 524 to 776 of the family's 1533-position model. The record is from RNAcentral.
UACAGUGGGGGCAAGCGUUAUUCGGAAUUAUUGGGCGUAAAGGGCGCGUAGGCGGCUUUGCAAGUGACGGGUGAAAUCCCUCGGCUUAACCGAGGAACUGCCUGUCAGACUGUGAGGCUUGAGACCGGGAGAGGUGAGUGGAAUUCCCAGUGUAGCGGUGAAAUGCGUAGAUAUUGGGAGGAACACCAGUGGCGAAGGCGGCUCACUGGACCGGAACUGACGCUGAGGCGCGAAAGCCAGGGGAGCAAACGGG